ACGUAGGGUGCGAGAGUUAAUCGGAAUUACUGGGCGUAAAGCGUGCGCAGGCGGUUUUGUAAGACAGUGGUGAAAUCCCCGGGCUCAACCUGGGAACUGCCAUUGUGACUGCAAGGCUGGAGUGCGGCAGAGGGGGAUGGAAUUCCGCGUGUACGAGCGAAAUGUGCAGAGAUGCGGAGGAACACCGAUGGCGAAGGCGCUAUCCUGGUUCUGCACUGACGCUCAUGGACGUAAGCGUGGGGAGCAAACGG
RNAcentral lists this ribosomal RNA (251 nucleotides) under uncultured prokaryote. RNAcentral's name for it is "partial 16S rRNA". It matches the Rfam family "Bacterial small subunit ribosomal RNA", at positions 525 to 775 of the family's 1533-position model. The record is from RNAcentral.